This 73-nucleotide transfer RNA is filed under the name Trichonephila inaurata madagascariensis. It matches the Rfam family "tRNA". From Rfam's summary of the family: Transfer RNA (tRNA) molecules are approximately 80 nucleotides in length. Lineage: Eukaryota; Metazoa; Arthropoda; Arachnida; Araneae; Nephilidae. The record is from Rfam by way of RNAcentral.
GUCCCUAGAGUGCAGCGGAUAGCGCGUUGGACCUCUAAUCCAAAGGUCGUGGGUUUGAAUCCCACCUGGGAUA